CACGUAGGAGGCGAGCGUUGUCCGGAAUCAUUGGGCGUAAAGAGCGCGCAGGCGGCUUGGCAAGUCGGGUGUGAAAUCCCGGGGCUCAACCCCGUGACUGCAUUCGAUACUGUCAGGCUAGAGGUAGGUAGGGGAGAUCGGAAUUCCUGGUGUAGCGGUGAAAUGCGCAGAUAUCAGGAGGAACACCGGUGGCGAAGGCGGAUCUCUGGGCCUUACCUGACGCUCAGGCGCGAAAGCGUGGGGAGCGAACAGG
RNAcentral lists this ribosomal RNA (253 nucleotides) under uncultured bacterium. RNAcentral's name for it is "partial 16S ribosomal RNA". It matches the Rfam family "Bacterial small subunit ribosomal RNA", at positions 524 to 776 of the family's 1533-position model. The record is from RNAcentral.